ACGCAUUGAGCGGUGAAUGAUACGUCGAGUUCACCUGCAUAUUGGAGGUGGAAACAACGAUCGAGAAGUGCCUCAAUUAUUUGCUGCUUGGAAAUAUGCCAAACGUCGAAGACAGAUCUUAUGCGAUGACCUUUCACAGGUUCACCAAUCAGACAUUCAUUAAACAGGACAAAAAAGGAAGCAAAGACACCAGUUCAAGUCUCGCGAGGAGAGGGGAGAGGAAGUGUCUCGUACAAUUCACCACUGCACUCUGAUUAUCUUCUCCUCAGCACCUCUAUUUAUUUAGAUUUAAGACGCCCCUUGUUUACAUGGAUGUUACAAAAAGGAGACGGCAAGCAAAACUGUUUGAAACAAAGUGUACAUGUUUGUUCAUGUGCAUGUGCAUGUGUGGAAGAUUACUGAAUACAUGUGUGGUCAUCAUUUCUUUAACAGGCAGCAGUUCUAACAGUUCUGAUGAUUAGAUGUUUUUGUUCUUGCUAUCUCCUGCUAGGAGGCUGCCACGUUAUCUUCAGCAGAGCACAGCAUUUCUUUAUUGGAAGCAGAUGUAUGAUAAUUAUGAUCACAAUUAUUCCUACAUUUCCCCCCUGUUUAUCCUACAUUUGCUGCCACAUUUUGUAGAGCAGAGCAAAGCAUUCUUCAUUGCAGGCAGAGCAAAGCAUUCUUCAUUGCAGGCAAAGCAGUAACUGAAUUGGAGCAGAGCAAAUAAUUUCUUCAAUGCAGUCAAGAAGCAGUUACUUGAUACUAUUUACAACUAUUUCUACAUUAUCCUCCAGUUUAUCCUACAUUUGCUCAAAUCCUUAAAUCAUCUAAUAGAUCACCCUUUCGGGUUACACUCAGAGGAAAAUAUAACACUAAUUACUUGUAAUCUUCUGGAUCAAAGAACAGGUCUGGAAGAGAAGUCAUAACGUCAUCAUCGUGGUCAACAAUAUCACUGUCAUUACUCUGUUGUGCGAAUAGUGGAUAUAUUUUUCCCAAUUUUGAAUUUGUUGGGGCAACAGCAGUGGUUAUAAGUUGGUUAAGUGAUGCCUUUAUGCAGCGAAUACAACAUCCACACAAUGCAAGAAUAGCUGCAAACAGCUAUAGAAACUAGGACAGAGAACACCAAAUUUUAGAUUUGCCAAACUUUUUUUUUUCCCCACCACUCAGACCUGGCUGAUGUGUUUACACCAGAGUGCUCCUUCAACUUGUGGUUCAGGCUGUGGAGGCCUUGAAUGGCCCUUCUCCGUGACCCCUCAGGUGCUGUGAUAUUUGGAAUAAACAACACUGGUCACCGAACAUUGAGCAGUUGUUCCCUCAUGGCAAUAAAGCCUGCUUCCGUAUAAUUACCUAGUUUCUGUACAUUGUAAUGUACGUAGUUGAUUCUGUCAACGUUUUUAUUCAGAGUUAUCCAUAACAAGAUGGAUUCCCAUCCUGCAGCAAUCUCGUUAACCAACUUAUACUCAUCUGGUAUGCCGUUGGGAUGCCAUUUGCUAUAAUGUAUGUCAGAUCUCCAUCUUUCCAAGAGGACCUUCGCCUUUGGGAGAACCCAAGGGGAAGUCCAAAGAUGGAUGCGGCCAAUUGUAUAUCCUCUGCUUUGGAUGGAAACACAGUCACAGAUAAGAGCAGUGUUGUCACAUCAUGUUAAGGUAGUAGUGAGUGUUUUUUGUUUUUUUUUCUCUAAUACCUCUCAUCUUUUGUGUCUAGUGUCCUUUACACUUUUCCUCAUCAUCUUCCUUUCUAUGGAACAACAGAUCUCUCUGCCUGUUUGUUCUUCCUGUCCACUUUCUUUAUCUUUCUUUUUCUGACUCCUUCUGAACAUUGUGUUAUCUCACUCUUUUGUACGGCCACAAGGCUCAAGUCUCUACUGAGGUCAAAAGGAGUGUUUGCGAGGACAGCAGCCCCUGCCCCACAUGAUCCCAGUUUGAGAGCUCGAGGACCAGUCCUUUAACGGGUCUGUGUUGCCGUGGCCAUGGUCUUCCUGGAGGUCGACUAUGAAGCUGGGAUCCUCAGGUAUGUUGGAAUCCGGCUCAAAGGACCCAGCAAAUGUUAGGUUUAAACCCAACCGCUGGAUUAAUUAUGCAAAUGAAGGGACAAGAGAGGUCUUCAAUUUGGCUCUAGAGGUGAAGCGGGUUUGACUGACCAGCUGCAACACCAACACCCGCUCUCAGUCAGUCUUACCAGUGUCCCCCUUUUCAUUACUUUCUCAAAACAAAGGGUCACAAGAUCAAAGAAAAAGAUGGAGGAACAGAUAGCAAUGCCAACACAAAGACAAAUACUAAGAUAAACAUUUACAACAAUGGCGUUUGAGGAGUAUCUGCUUUGAAGUCAGCAAGGGGGUGCAUCAUCCCCCCAGAUGUGGCUGGGUCACACUCAGGUCACAGUCAGGUCACACAGCUACUCCCAAUGAGAAUGAUUCAGGCAAGGAUGAUAUAAACAAAUGCAUGAUAAAAUAAUAAAUCUAACACUUUGCUUUACAAUGAUGCCUAUGAUAGAGGCUCCGCCAGGUCCAAUAUACAAGCUGUUUCAUCUUAAAGAUGUUGAUUGUCUUACUCCUCACUUGCCUCGUCUCUCUUCUGGUUGUAAUGCAUGGCUGUCUAGUUUUGUGGAAACUUUACAGGGGUAUACAGUCUGCAUGGGAGAGUGGAGACAAGCAACAUCUAGAUCAUGCACUAGUAUUGAACAACGAGAAAUCAAGACAACUACAGAAAUCUUUAUGCGGCCCAGCUUCACCGAGACUCUGCCUCAAGCGGCCCCUAGUUAAAUUGAGUUUGAGACCCCUGGUCUACGAUAUUGGUUGGUAUAGGAGAGAGUGGAUCAACGAGUGCUGACGAGUGUGGUCCAUUUGAUGUUGCUCAGCCUUGCCACAGCAGUCCAGGAUGAAGGUUCACCAACCUGGUGCCAUCUGUCACACUAUGUCAAAGUGCCAGAUGGGUAAGCCGCACAAGAACGUGGACCUGAAAGGGAUGGCCCUGGACCACUUCAGAUUGCUGAAGAGGAAGACAGAAAAGCUUGGGUUCAUGCUGAAUACCCAUGGAAACAACAGAAGAAAGGUUUUGUUGCCAUGAGAGUCAACAUAUUCACCAGAAAAUGGAAGGUUAUCCAGAUGAUCCGCUGCAGUGCAUGACAGAGCACCCAGGAUUUAUUCCCAGCUUUCUAAACCAAUGAGUACUUGAGGUUGUCUAUCUCCAAUUCAAGUAACAAUAUUGGGAGUGACUGGAAUUUCCACAACACGAGUAAGAGCUAUUUUAAAAAUUAUUAAUGGUAAUAUUUGUCCAAAUCAGCCCAGCUUUUUGCCAUUUCCAUUCAGAUUUUUCGAAAUAAAGAAUUGUUUACAUUUUUGUUCCUGCUAAAAGCGGUAUUUGUCCAAACAAUGCUUGUUCAAAAAAAGUUCCAUUCUGGAAAAUUGUCAUAUGAGUAUAUUUUCUUAUUUUCAGGAUAAUACUGCUUAUUCACAGCUUGUGAGAUGGUGUUGGGGAAUUGUAGGUAGAAAAAAAACACGGGCCACUUCCAUCCUACUGUGUGUGGAAGAUUUCUGACUGAUGACCUGUCUUUAUGUAAAUGUUGUAAUUUAUAUUUAUCCAUCCAUUAUCAAAGCCACUUAUCCUCACAAGGGUCAAAGGAGAGCCAGAGCCUAACCCACCUGUCAUGGUCCUGCCGGUCCAGCCCUGGCUGUGCGGGUUGUCGCACUGAUUGGGAGGCGCCUCAUGCUGGCUGAUUGGCCCCGGUGUAUAUAGGACCAUGGGGACUGCCUCCUUUGAUACUCCUGCCUGCUUUGAUCAAUCUCCCAUGAGACACCGACUCCUGCCUGCCCGCUGACCUGCUCUCUACACCCAACGUCCUGACUAACGCUGCUGCACCUGACUGCCUGCCCGAUCACCGACUGUGGAACAAUAAACGCUUUUCCCGAAUUAUCUCUGCGUCUCCCGUGUACUCGUGUACCCGUCUUGAUGGGUCGCGACACCAGCCAGCAUCGGCCGAAAGGUGGACUACACCUUGAACUGGUCGCCAAUCAGUCACAGGGAAACUUUAUAUAUAUAU
Long non-coding RNA from Syngnathoides biaculeatus (alligator pipefish), 4017 nucleotides. RefSeq lists it as uncharacterized. The record is from RefSeq and is a predicted model, not a curated record. NCBI's taxonomy places the organism in Eukaryota, Metazoa, Chordata, Actinopteri, Syngnathiformes, Syngnathidae. The transcript has 6 exons.